RNAcentral lists this ribosomal RNA (252 nucleotides) under uncultured bacterium. Its description in RNAcentral is "partial 16S ribosomal RNA". It matches the Rfam family "Bacterial small subunit ribosomal RNA", at positions 524 to 776 of the family's 1533-position model. The record is from RNAcentral.
UACGUAGGUCCCGAGCGUUGUCCGGAUUUAUUGGGCGUAAAGCGAGCGCAGGUGGUUUAUUAAGUCUGGUGUAAAAGGCAGUGGCUCAACCAUUGUAUGCAUUGGAAACUGGUAAAGUUGAGUGCAGGAGAGGAGAGUGGAAUUCCAUGUGUAGCGGUGAAAUGCGUAGAUAUAUGGAGGAACACCGGUGGCGAAAGCGGCUCUCUGGCCUGUAACUGACACUGAGGCUCGAAAGCGUGGGGAGCAAACAGG